This 213-nucleotide ribosomal RNA is filed under the name uncultured bacterium. RNAcentral's name for it is "partial 16S ribosomal RNA". It matches the Rfam family "Bacterial small subunit ribosomal RNA", at positions 1280 to 1500 of the family's 1533-position model. The record is from RNAcentral.
AGCCUGUCUCAGUUCGGAUUGGAGGCUGAAACCCGCCUCCAUGAAGUUGGAUUCGCUAGUAAUCGCGCAUCAGCCAUGGCGCGGUGAAUACGUUCCCGGGCCUUGUACACACCGCCCGUCAAGCCAUGGAAGCCGGGAGUGCCUGAAGUACGCGACCGCAAGGAGCGUCCUAAGGUAAAACCGGUGACUGGGGCUAAGUCGUAACAAGGUAGC